UCUAGCAAUAUAUUUGCAGGUUUUAGGUCUAAGUGAAGGAUAUCGAUCUCUGUUAAUAUAUUGUAAACCUUCACAAAUUCCCUUGAUUAUUUCAUAGUGCGCUAUUUUAAAAGAAAUGAUUUGGCAUUGGACAAACCAAGUUGUCCAACAUGCAUAUUCAUGACUUGAAAAAGUAAAAAAAAAUACAGUCUGGAUAUUGUGUUUGACUUAGAAAGAUGGAAAAGCUAAACAAAAAGUUGUGAAGGCAGAUGAUAAAAGUGCUAUUGAAUGAUCAAGGAAUUUGUGAGGUUUACAUUAUCUUCGCAAGAGUUGUAUUGUUCACUUAGACCUAGACAUGCAAGUAUAUUUCUAGG
RNAcentral lists this microRNA precursor (353 nucleotides) under Triticum aestivum (bread wheat). RNAcentral's name for it is "MIR5048 microRNA precursor family". It matches the Rfam family "MIR5048 microRNA precursor family". The record is from Rfam by way of RNAcentral. RNAcentral also lists the same sequence under 1 other name. Lineage: Eukaryota; Viridiplantae; Streptophyta; Magnoliopsida; Poales; Poaceae.